CACGGAAGUAGUGCAGGGAGCCACCCAGGAUGCGGAAAGCUUUGCCUUCCAGGGUCAGCUGGGUCCCGUUGGCCUUGAGGCCCACUCGCCUUGUCAUCGUCCUUGCUCCAGGCUGGACCCUGGCACACACUACGGGGGAGCCAGAGGACCGGCUGUGCCACAUGAUCAAACCUUCUCGCAGACUCUCACUGAGAGUGACUUGCAUCGCCCACAGCUGUACAUGCUCCCGUUUCAUCCAGACAACUCGGCUGCGGCUCCUCUGACUCUACGCUGUCGGGGACUAAAGCGAAUCGAGGCAGACGCAGCUGGCCUUGAUGCUGACUCUCCAGCCACGUCUCUCUCUCUCUCUCUCUCUCUCUCUCUCUCUCUCUCUCUCUCUCUCUCUCUCUCCCCCCCUCUCCCCUUCCCGGAGCUCCAGGGAAAUGAAUACACUGAGAUAACGGCGGCCCCGGAUUGUUCAGGACACAAUCGUCGGCGCGGCAAUCCCGCUGAUAAGAUGCUUGGCCGUGCUGCCAUCUGCCAACCGCCAGCUCAGUGUUCCCAGAGGGGGCCGGGAACGAGGACGCAGCCCAGCGGUAACACUGUGACACCAGCAUCUCUUUGCACCCAGAAAGAGCAGCGUCCAGCUUCGUCUAUUUCGUGCCGCAGAAAUAAUAUGGAAAGAGCCCGAGGGCAGUGAUUUUCCCCCCACUGCCCUGAGAUGAUCCUGGAGAGGAGCCUAUGACAGACACAGAGGCAGUAUUCUCUUCCUAACGCCCCCGAUGAGUCACGACCCGUCGAUCAGCAUGACUGACAGCCCUCAGACGUUCCUGUGCGGCGGCCGUUUGCCAUUUUUAUGGCUGGUGGGGGCAUGGAAAGCUGCUGCCUUCUGGCUUUACUGGGAUUUCCUACUCUGGCUUUUCCCCUCGUUCUCUGGUAUGUUUUCCAACAGUGAGAAUUGCCGUAUGCUUUAAUUAUUUUUUUUUGCAUAUAAACACAGAAAGUUUAAAUGGUAAUUAAAAGCCCGGGAUGUGUGAAAUGCACUUCUGCUGGUCCUUCUGGGUCGGGACCCCAUCUACCUGCUAUUUCCGCUCGUCACCGUUUCCAGGUUCGUAAGUCCUGUCCGAGAGUCGCACCAGCAAGCCGCAGAUUCGAAUCCUGAAGAUUUAUCCUGCUCGGAAUGGCUCAUAAGCGAGAGCAAUUUAAAAGGUUAUAAAACCGUAACAGCAGGGUGUGCAUGCGAUGACCUGGGAGACACUCGCGAGUAGUGGCACACACAUGCAGAACGGCAUGCUGGGGAUCCUCACACCCCCCCCCCACUGGGGCUCCACCAAUGAGCCCAGGAGCCCAGAGUGUGUAAAUUGGCAGCAAUGAGAUAUUGACUGGCUGGCGAAUAUGUCACGGUCGACUGAGCCCUGAGAAUUUUCCCCCAGCAGGAAAAAAAAAAAAAAACAGGAGCCACGUUCUUUGACGCCACCAGGGGGCGCUCUCUCGCCGUUCCCUUUCUCUCCCGACACCCAUGCGUCCGUUUGAAGGGCACACGCCUCCCACUGGUAGGAAUGCGGCGCGAUGUUUAUU
Brienomyrus brachyistius is the source of this 1557-nucleotide long non-coding RNA. RefSeq lists it as uncharacterized. The transcript is spliced from 5 exons. Lineage: Eukaryota; Metazoa; Chordata; Actinopteri; Osteoglossiformes; Mormyridae. The record is from RefSeq and is a predicted model, not a curated record.